UUAGUUUUCAGUAGUUGAAGGUGAAGUAUUGCAGUAUUGGUUCGUUGUUUGUUUAUCCUUUAUUUUAUCGCGUCAUCAAGUUGAUGAUGAUUUUUGAUUGCUGAAGGUCUUAAAUUAAGACGAAGGUGGGAAUAGAACUGCAGAUACAUAUUAUACUAAAAUCCACCAUGACAGAUGAAUAUGAUGCCAAGGAUUAGAUUUGAAAAAAGUUCUUCUCCUCUCUACAUUUGAUGAAAGCCAUUUUCAGCAAAGGUGGGAAUAGAACUGCAGACGCAUAUACCAAAAUCCACCAUGACAGACGAAUAUGCUGCCAACUACAGUUUUAGAUUUAAAACUCCUUUCUACAUCUGAUGGAAACCAUUUUCAGACCAAGAGCAGAGAGACUACGCCUCAUGAAGCUCAAAUCGAGGACGAUAGCAGUUCAAAGUAAAAAUAUAUAAUUAGUAAUAAAUUGAAAGUUCAAUUUUUGUAAUAUUUAAUAAAAAUCAUUGAAUUUUAUUGAAAA
Long non-coding RNA from Nilaparvata lugens (brown planthopper), 505 nucleotides. RefSeq lists it as uncharacterized. Lineage: Eukaryota; Metazoa; Arthropoda; Insecta; Hemiptera; Delphacidae. The record is from RefSeq and is a predicted model, not a curated record. The transcript is spliced from 4 exons.